ACCCGCUGAACUUAAGCAUAUCAUUAUGUGGAGGAAAAGAAACCAACAGGGAUUCCCUAAGUAAGGGCGACUGAACAGGGAAAAGCUCAAACUUAAAAUCGGCCUGGGCCAACACCCUCGUCCGAAUUGUAGUUUUGCGAAUGGAUUCUGGUGCGAUUACCGGCCUAAGUACUCUGGAACGAGACGCCAUAGAAGGUAACAGCCCUGUGAGGCCGGCGAUCAACCCUUAUGUUUCCAUUUCUAGGAGUCAGGCUAUUUGAGAGCAUAGCCUAAAGCGGGUGGUAAACUCCAUCCAAAGCUAAAUAUCAGUGGGAGACCGAUAGCGAACAAGUACCGCGAGGGAAAGGUGAAAAAGACUCUGAAAAGAGAGUUAAAAGUAUUUGAAACCGUCGACAGUGAAGCGGAUGUGCCCUCCACUCUGUGGCGUAUGAAUCAGCAAGUUGCUUGUUCUCAGGAUGCCCGAUAGCCUUUAAUUGGGCAGUCGGGUAUUCUGGUCAAGGGUAAGCGACUUGUGCACUUCAUGCGUCUUAAGAUGCAACUGGUUUGUGUGAUCGACUAAGGCGGUGUGGCAGGUAACCGGCUCG
This 584-nucleotide ribosomal RNA is filed under the name uncultured fungus. RNAcentral's name for it is "eukaryotic LSU rRNA". It matches the Rfam family "Eukaryotic large subunit ribosomal RNA", at positions 23 to 547 of the family's 3401-position model. The record is from RNAcentral. Lineage: Eukaryota; Fungi.